AUGUCGGAUCGGCAGCCGUCGGAGGAACCGGAGGAGCAGGUGGACCUGGAGGGAGACGACGACGUCAUGGACGACGAGGAAGGGUACCGCCGCCGCCGCCACGGUGGUGAGGACUCUGAUGAGCCGGAGGACGAGCCCGAGGAGCCUCAAAUCGAGGUGGAGGGCGAUGGCGACGGAGAUGGCCGGGAGGAGGACGCCGGUAUGGCGGUUGCCAGUGACGAACCUGCCGCGGCAAGUGGUGACGAGAUGGAGAAGGGUGAUGAGCCUGAGGACGAAGAAGAGAAGAUGAAGUGGGAGGAGCUCCUCGCACUACCCCCGCAGGGCUCGGAGGUAUUCGUCGGGGGCCUCCCCCGAGACACCACCGAGGAGGACCUCCGCGAGCUAUGCGAGCCAUUGGGCGAAAUCUUUGAGGUGAGGUUGAUGAAGGAUAAGGAAACAAAGGAAAACAAAGGAUUUGCCUUUGUCACAUUUACUGCCAAGGACGUGGCGCAGCGUGCUAUCGAAGAACUGCAUGACAAGGACCACAAGGUAGGGAGAACACUGCGAUGCUCAUUGUCCCAGGCCAAGCACAGGUUAUUUGUUGGCAAUGUACCCAAAGGGUUGAGUGAGGAUGAGCUGACGAGCAUAAUCAAAGGGAAGGGGCCAGGGGUCGUGAAUAUUGAGAUGUUCAAGGAUUUGCAUGACCCAAGCCGUAACCGUGGGUUCCUCUUCGUUGAGUACUAUAACCAUGCUUGCGCAGAUUAUGCCAGGCAGAAAUUGUCAUCACCAGACUUUAAGGUUGAUGGAAGCCAGUUGACUGUUAGCUGGGCUGAACCUAAGGGUUCAUCAUCGUCAUCAUCAGAUUCUUCUUCAUCUGCUGCUCAGGUGAAGACUAUAUAUGUGAAGAACCUGCCGGAGAAUGUUUCUAAAGAGAAAGUUAAGGAUCUCUUUGAAGUUCAUGGAGAGGUCACAAAAAUUGUUUUACCGCCUGCUAAGGCCGGGCAUAAGAGGGAUUUUGGGUUUGUUCACUUUGCUGAAAGAUCAAGUGCACUGAAGGCAGUUAAAGGAAGUGAAAAAUACGAAAUCGAUGGGCAAGUGCUUGAAGUUUCCAUGGCCAAACCUUUGAGUGAUAAGAAACCUGACCACUCGUUCAAGCCUGGUGGAGCUCCCAGCUAUCCUCUUCCACCUUAUGGUGGCUACAUGGGAGACCCAUAUGGUGCCUAUGGUGGCGGCCCUGGAUUCAACCAGCCUAUGAUCUAUGGUAGAGGACCAGCACCAGCUGGAAUGAGGAUGGUGCCGAUGGUGCUCCCUGAUGGUCGCCUUGGCUAUGUUCUGCAACAACCUGGUGGAAUGCCGCCUCCACCCCCUCCGCGACGUGGUGACCGGCGGGAUGGCGGUGGCCGAGGUGGCGAAGGAAGCCAGCGGCGUUAUCGGCCCUACUAG
This 1422-nucleotide ribosomal RNA is filed under the name Triticum aestivum (bread wheat). RNAcentral describes it as "partial small subunit ribosomal RNA". The record is from RNAcentral. Lineage: Eukaryota; Viridiplantae; Streptophyta; Magnoliopsida; Poales; Poaceae.